GUGCUGUUGACCAACCAAAUUUGAGUUAGCUACCCAUGGCCUUUAGCAGUAUUUCAGAGCACAAACACCCUCAAGUCCACUGCAUUCAGAGCUGAGUACUGUUGAGCAGAUUUUAGCAGUCAAUUACCCAGCUCUCAUUCAGACAAAGAAGAAAUGAAAAGUUUGCAACUUCUCUCUAUUUUGUUGAUUUCUUGGAUUAUCAUCCCAACAAAUACACAUGGAGGAAAGAAAAAAGGCACAUAACUUUUCAGUAUCUGAAAUGCACCAGGAAAUGCUGAGCUGGGAAGCUGUACUGGAGACAAGGAAUUCUACAGCAAAUGUGAAGCAAACUGGUGUACCAAUUCCACCUGUGACCACCCUACAGAUGACAAAAAGUCUAACAGAUAUAAAGCAACCAAAAUAAUAAAGCUUAGGAGUAUUGGAAAGUU
This is a non-coding RNA of Meleagris gallopavo (turkey), 428 nucleotides long. The record is from RefSeq and is a predicted model, not a curated record. NCBI's taxonomy places the organism in Eukaryota, Metazoa, Chordata, Aves, Galliformes, Phasianidae.